Molecule: ribosomal RNA, 467 nt
Filed under: Stenella longirostris (spinner dolphin)
Lineage: Eukaryota; Metazoa; Chordata; Mammalia; Artiodactyla; Delphinidae
Description: partial 16S ribosomal RNA
Rfam family: Bacterial large subunit ribosomal RNA
Source: RNAcentral
ACAAUCGUUAAACGGCCGCGGUAUCUUGACCGUGCAAAGGUAGCAUAAUCACUUGUUCUCUAAAUAAGGACUUGUAUGAAUGGCCACACGAGGGUUUUACUGUCUCUUACUCUUAAUCAGUGAAAUUGACCUCCCCGUGAAGAGGCGGGGAUAAUACAAUAAGACGAGAAGACCCUAUGGAGCUUUAAUUAAUCAACUCAAAAAGCAUAAAAUAAUACCACCAAGGGAUAACAAAGCUUUAGAUGAGCUGACAAUUUYGGUUGGGGUGACCUYGGAGUAUAAAAAACCCUCCGAGUGAUUAAAACUUAGGCCUACUAGCCAAAGUAUAGUAUCACUUAUUGAUCCAAAAUUUUGAUCAACGGAACAAGUUACCCUAGGGAUAACAGCGCAAUCCUAUUCUAGAGUCCAUAUCGACAAUAGGGUUUACGACCUCGAUGUUGGAUCAGGACAUCCUAAUGGUGCAGCAG